GGUUAAGUGAAUAAGGGCGCACGGUGGAUGCCUUGGCACUAGGAGCCGAUGAAGGACGGGACUAACACCGAUAUGCUUUGGGGAGCUGUAAGUAAGCUAUGAUCCAGAGAUUUCCGAAUGGGGGAACCCAAUAUCUUUUAUAGGAUAUUACUUUUCAGUGAAUACAUAGCUGAUUAGAGGUAGACGCAGAGAACUGAAACAUCUUAGUACCUGCAGGAAGAGAAAGAAAAUUCGAUUCCCUGAGUAGCGGCGAGCGAAACGGGAAGAGCCCAAACCAACAAGCUUGCUUGUUGGGGUUGUAGGACUCCAAUAUGGUAGUCUGUUAGUAUAGUUGAAGGAUUUGGAAAAUUCCGCUAAAGAGGGUGAAAGCCCCGUAGACGAAAUGCUGACAACACCUAGGAGGAUCCUGAGUACGGCGGAACACGAGAAAUUCCGUCGGAAUCCGCGGGGACCAUCCCGCAAGGCUAAAUACUCCCUAGUGACCGAUAGUGAACCAGUACCGUGAGGGAAAGGUGAAAAGCACCCCGGAAGGGGAGUGAAAUAGAUCCUGAAACCGUGUGCCUACAACAAGUCAAAGCUCGUUAAUGAGUGAUGGCGUGCCUUUUGUAGAAUGAACCGGCGAGUUACGAUUGCAUGCGAGGUUAAGUCGAAGAGACGGAGCCGCAGCGAAAGCGAGUCUGAAUAGGGCGAAUGAGUAUGUAGUCGUAGACCCGAAACCAUGUGAUCUACCCAUGUCCAGGUUGAAGGUGCGGUAAAACGCACUGGAGGACCGAACCCACGUACGUUGAAAAGUGCGGGGAUGAGGUGUGGGUAGCGGAGAAAUUCCAAACGAACUUGGAGAUAGCUGGUUCUCUCCGAAAUAGCUUUAGGGCUAGCCUCGGAAUUGAGAAUGAUGGAGGUAGAGCACUGUUUGGACUAGGGGCCCAUCUCGGGUUACCGAAUUCAGAUAAACUCCGAAUGCCAUUCAUUUAUAUCCGGGAGUCAGACUGCGAGUGAUAAGAUCCGUAGUCGAAAGGGAAACAGCCCAGACCACCAGCUAAGGUCCCAAAAUAUAUGUUAAGUGGAAAAGGAUGUGGGGUUGCACAGACAACUAGGAUGUUGGCUUAGAAGCAGCCACCAUUUAAAGAGUGCGUAAUAGCUCACUAGUCGAGUGACCCUGCGCCGAAAAUGUACCGGGGCUAAACAUAUUACCGAAGCUGUGGACUACACCAUUAGGUGUAGUGGUAGGAGAGCGUUCUAAGGGCGUUGAAGGUCGAUCGUGAGGACGGCUGGAGCGCUUAGAAGUGAGAAUGCCGGUAUGAGUAGCGAAAGACAGGUGAGAAUCCUGUCCACCGUAUGACUAAGGUUUCCUGGGGAAGGCUCGUCCGCCCAGGGUUAGUCGGGACCUAAGCCGAGGCCGAUAGGCGUAGGCGAUGGACAACAGGUUGAUAUUCCUGUACCAGUUGUUUUUGUUUGAGCAAUGGAGGGACGCAGUAGGCUAAGGAAUGCAUGCGAUUGGAAGUGCAUGUCCAAGCAAUGAGUCUUGAGUAGAGUUAAAUGCUUUACUCUUUAAGGACAAGUUGUGACGGGGAGCGAAAUAAUAGUAGCGAAGUUCCUGAUGUCACACUGCCAAGAAAAGCUUCUAGUGAGAAAACAACUGCCCGUACCGUAAACCGACACAGGUAGUCGAGGAGAGUAUCCUAAGGUGAGCGAGCGAACUCUCGUUAAGGAACUCGGCAAAAUGACCCCGUAACUUCGGGAGAAGGGGUGCUGACUUCGGUCAGCCGCAGUGAAUAGGCCCAAGCGACUGUUUAUCAAAAACACAGGUCUCUGCAAAAUCGUAAGAUGAAGUAUAGGGGCUGACGCCUGCCCGGUGCUGGAAGGUUAAGAGGAUGGGUUAGCUUCGGCGAAGCUCAGAAUUGAAGCCCCAGUAAACGGCGGCCGUAACUAUAACGGUCCUAAGGUAGCGAAAUUCCUUGUCGGGUAAGUUCCGACCCGCACGAAAGGCGUAACGAUUUGGGCACUGUCUCAACGAGAGACUCGGUGAAAUUUUAGUACCUGUGAAGAUGCAGGUUACCCGCGACAGGACGGAAAGACCCCAUGGAGCUUUACUGUAGUUUGAUAUUGAGUGUUUGUACCACAUGUACAGGAUAGGUAGGAGCCGAUGAGACCGGAACGCUAGUUUCGGAGGAGGCGCUGGUGGGAUACUACCCUUGUGUUAUGAA
Molecule: ribosomal RNA, 2204 nt
Filed under: Enterococcus faecalis
Lineage: Bacteria; Bacillati; Bacillota; Bacilli; Lactobacillales; Enterococcaceae
Description: partial 23S ribosomal RNA
Rfam family: Bacterial large subunit ribosomal RNA
Source: RNAcentral